RNAcentral lists this ribosomal RNA (417 nucleotides) under uncultured bacterium. Its description in RNAcentral is "bacterial SSU rRNA". It matches the Rfam family "Bacterial small subunit ribosomal RNA", at positions 917 to 1333 of the family's 1533-position model. The record is from RNAcentral.
GGGCCCGCACAAGCGGUGGAUUAUGUGGAUUAAUUCGAUGCAACGCGAAAAACCUUACCUGGCCUUGACAUGUACCGAAUUUAGCAGAGAUGCUUUAGUGCUCGAAAGAGAACGGUAACACAGGUGCUGCAUGGCUGUCGUCAGCUCGUGUCGUGAGAUGUUGGGUUAAGUCCCGCAACGAGCGCAACCCUUGCCAUUAAUUGCCAUCAUUUAGUUGGGCACUUUAAUGGGACUGCCGGUGACAAACCGGAGGAAGGUGGGGAUGACGUCAAGUCCUCAUGGCCCUUAUGGCCAGGGCUUCACACGUAAUACAAUGGUCGGUACAGAGGGAAGCCAACCCGCGAGGGGGAGCCAAUCUCAGAAAGCCGGUCGUAGUCCGGAUUGUUGUCUGCAACUCGACAGCAUGAAGUCGGAAUC